CCCCCCCCCCCCCCGGGGCUCGGCGAGCGCAGCCGGUUCCUCUUUACAUAACGGCGCGGGGCGGCAUGGGCUCGGCCGCCGCCUCCGCCCGGCCGCCCGCCCGGACUGUCGCGGCCCGCGGUGGCGACGGCGGCGGCAGCAAAGUUUCCCCGGCGGCGGCCCGGGGCGCAUCCUCCCGCAACUGUCAAGCGCUGGCGGCGGAAAUGAUGAGGCGCUGGCCAUUUUCCGAGCCCGGGUUUCCUGCCUGAGCCCCGCUCGGUAGAGCCGCGAGCCAGGAGCCGGCGCGCGGAGAGAGCGCUCCCGGGCGGGGGCCCACCCGCCCCCUCGGGGUUUCGGGGGGCCGGAGGCGCGCGACGCCAUGGGCCGGCCGGGCCCGGACCCCCCGUGUCUCAGCUUCCCUGGAGCGCCUCCUGCACCUGCAGCUCUCGGGGUCCCGAGUCUGGGAGAGGAAUUCUGAAGACCCAGGCAGGAGGAGGUGAUGGUGCUUCCUGGCCGUGCGGCCUUGCCUGACCACGCCAGCCUCAGUUUCCUCAUCUGUCAAGUGGGUGUGAUAAUAGUACCUGUGUCGUAAGGUCGUUGGAACCGUAAAGAGUGAAGUCACAGUGUUUAGAACGGCUUGGUCAGGAGGAGUGACGAGGAGCAGUGAGGAGAUGGGCAUUAUCUGGUUCGACACGGAUGUCAGCUCUGCUUGUUUCCUUCUGAUUUUCCACCCCCACCCCCACCCCUCUGCACCCUGGGCUUGAUCUUUCUCCGAUAAACAGGACUUCCUAACCCCCGUCAGAUCCUCUGGAACCUCUCCAGAUACGGCGGUUCAGCCUGUGGGGGCCCGUGGACGUCUGGGUCCAGCUGGGCCACCUCAGGACACCCUCCGCCUCCUGAACGGAGCCUCCCCGAGGGAAGACGGGGUGGGGCUGGGGGCGCUCGGAGGGACCUCCCAGUGGCCAGUCCCAGUGCUGCCCACUCCUAGCGGGGAGACGGAGCACAUAAAGCUGGGCCUGGCACUCAAUUAAUAAUAGAUAUUAUUAUUGUUGUUGUUGUUAUUACAAGAAGAGGCCUUUCCUGUUAAGCUCUCUCUUUUCCCUGGUAGCAGCAUGGGCUUUGGGGCCAAAUCUGGGCUCUGUCAGCUUCUAGCUGUGAGGCCUUAGGCAAGUUACCUGAUCUCUCUGGGCCUCACUUGGCCAGUAGGGGCCAAGAGUCCCCACUUCCCCAGGGUAUAUGUCUGUAUGUGAGCUCAUAUGCAAAGUGCAUGGGCCUGGCACAGAGUAGGGACUCGAACUGUGUUGGCUGUAAUUGCUAUGGCUGUGUGACCCUGGGCUUGUCCCGUAACCUCUCUGAGCUAUGGUUCUCCUCAUCUGACAUGGGAGUACUAAUGACUACAGGAUAGGGUUGUUUUGAGAGGAGGUAUGCACGGGGCCUGGCAUGCAGUCAGCGCUCAGUAAGUUUGAGCUAUGCUAUUAAUGCCCAAAGGGGGCUGGCACUUAAUUGCCAGGUUUCCUGGGAGAACGGUCCCCAGGGCCCAGGUGCCAGCAUCCUCAGCUGGGCGGGGCAGGGAGCCACUUCCAUCUGGCAGACAGAGAAGCCUGCCGUAGAGUGCAGAGGUGCAACCCGAGCGAGCGGCUGGUUCCCAGCAGACCCUGUUCCCAGCUCCCACCCUCCCUGAGGAAACUGAGGCGGGCAGGCUGCCCAGGGGAAGUGACUCAGCUGGGGUCACUCGCUGAGUCAGGCCUAAUUGGACCCAGGAGCCCUGUGCCCCAGCUCCCUCUCUUCCGGCCCCCCUCCCAGGUCCCUUGGGGACUGGGCAGGUCCAGAGGCCACAGCUGGAUACCUGCUCAGUUGGGCCCCGAGGCCUGGGCGCCCUGCGUUCCUCAGUCGGGACUCCAGGGUUCCCCUGGGCGGCUCAUCUUGUGUCCCUCCUCCCAGCAGGGGCAAGGGGCACUUCCCCGGGAGAGCGGGUCCUCCUGGCGUCCCGGCCCCGCCUCGGCCGGAAACCCGGCAGCUGAGCAGAUGGCUGGAAGGUUUUUCCUCCCACGCCACCCUGACAGGGGUCGGCGAGGGGGGCCGGGCUGCAGGCUUCCUCGUGAGCCAGGCCCAGAGCCCCUGGGGGCCUGCCCGGAUGUGGGCCCCCACCCUGGCUGGCUGGGGGGAGCCUGCCGCUGCCCCUUGUGUCCCCAGGGAGGCCUGGGAGGGAGGAAGUCUGUGCCCUGCUCACCGGGAGCUGACUCACAGGGCGCCUGAUGGGGGGCUGGCCUUUCGAGGCGGGGAUGGGGGUAGGACGGGACACAAAAGAGGGCCUUUGGCACAGAAUCUGCCCUUUGAGAGCUGGCACUCUGGUAUCUUCUCACAGGAGGGCCCAGAGAGGGUGAUGAGUGUGAGGAGAGAUGCACAGGAGCGGGAAGCUUGAGCGCACCCCUCCCGAUACUAUGAAGUGGCAUGGUCUGCGGUGGGGAGGGGGUUGGGGGAGGUCCUCACUUGAAGGAAGAAGUCCCAUGCUGAGACAGGCAGGGGGUGGCGUUCAGAGAGUCUUGGCUUUCCCCACUCCUGGCUGGGUCAGUGGCCGGGGUGUCAGGCUGAGGGUGGGGGCAGAGGCAGCUGGAGGACAGUUCCUGUUCUGGCAGCCUGAUAAAUGUCCCUGGACACUAGGUGACUUCGAGAGGGUGCAUCAGGGCCCUGCUGGCUCCGCUGGUCCAGAGCAGAACCCACCCCUCGGCCUCCCCAGGGCCCCGGGGCCCUUGCUCCCUGCUUGCCCCAGGCUUCUCCAGUCUGACCAGUGUGAAUGGUGUGGAAGGGCAGGGAGCCGCGUCCCCUAGCUCUUUGGGCCUCCCUGGGCAUGGGGUCCAGGCUGCUAGAGAAGUUGGUGCUGUGGGUGGGAAAGACAGAAACGCUCCCUGUGGCCCGGAGUCAACCCCGAGGCCUCCUGGAGGAGGUGUUUCCCUCCGAAGGUGUGAGACUUCCUGCCCAAGUGUCUGUGAGCUGGAGGAGGGCGGGGGCUCCAGACUGGCUCAUUUUAACUUCAUUCACCACAGUUUAAAAUCUCCCCAAGCCUUGGCAGGUGGAAUUCCCCCAGGUGGGUAGAGGCCUUCUCUGCACCUGAGCCUGAUGAUUAAGGGAACCGUACGCUCCCCAGGUUCCCUCAUUACACAGGGUGAUGGGGCAGAGUGGGGCUGGGAGCCCCCGUCUCUGGAGCCACGGCUUGGAGUGGGCCCCACAGCUCAGAGCCAGGCUCUUCCCUGACUUGACAGCAGCUCAAGGAUCCCCCAGGAUGGACAGGCGUGAGCGGGGACAGCAGGCACGGGCUAAGGCUUCAUGGCCCUCCUUUGUGACCCUUGGCUGACUCUCCGGUGGACACAGUUGUUCUGAAUUCAGGGUCAUGAGAGGCAGGAUCCCCCGGCCCGGGCCCUCAGAUGGGUGUGGGGCGUGCUGCCCUGUGUGUUUGCUAUGAGGCCUGGGAGGAUGGGCGACACCAGGGUGCCCCAGGACGUGGUCCUGCCGCUCCACAUCGUCUCAUCCUUGGCCCUCAGCCUGGUAUGGGGUCGGGGAAAUCCUAGAGCCCCCCCAGCGGGACCCCUGCCCCAGGAGCCCAGGCUAAGCAGGGGGACAGACCCCCCGGAUUUACAGGCCCUCUGUGUCCCCCUGGCUGCCCAGGCCCCACAUGCUACAGGGGGGACAGAGUGCCCCAAGAACCCCUCCCCACCCCCCAACCUAAGCCUGAGGGCCCCUGGGAGUCCCGGAUGAUGAUGACCGCUUCCUGCCAGCAGCCCUUCGGCCCUGACCCCUGGGCCGGCCGGACCUCAUCAAUCGCUCUCCUCCCGGCCUGGCCCACAGUAAGUGCUCAGUGAGCGGCUACCCACCG
This 3850-nucleotide long non-coding RNA is filed under the name Equus asinus (donkey). RNAcentral describes it as "lncRNA (ENSEASG00005024724.1)". Lineage: Eukaryota; Metazoa; Chordata; Mammalia; Perissodactyla; Equidae. The record is from RNAcentral.